CAGUGGUGCGUUUCCAAGGCAGCUGCGUCAAACUGGAGGGAGUACCGCCCCCCUGUGGACACCUGGAAGUGUGGAGGAUCCAUUAGGAACUUGGACCUUGCCUGUGGUAUGAGCUCAUCAUAAUCCCUGUGUAAUGCGGUCUGUGGUUUGUUACCUGGGAGUGAAGCUGACCUGAAGACACUGGCUGCAGCUGCUGACAUGGAGCUCCUUGGACUUGAGAAGCCCAAAGUC
Molecule: long non-coding RNA, 231 nt
Organism: Siniperca chuatsi (mandarin fish)
Lineage: Eukaryota; Metazoa; Chordata; Actinopteri; Centrarchiformes; Sinipercidae
Exons: 3
Source: RefSeq, a predicted model, not a curated record